CGGGGCCAGGAACCGCCCGGGCGCACGCGGCACGCGGCCGGCGCCCCUCGGCCCGGGGCUUUGGUUCGCCUCGGCGUCGGAGAGCGAAGGUCUUCCCGCCCGAGCCCUGGAAGGAGCCAGUUGCAGGCCUUGCUCCCCUAGGCCCUAACCGCGCAGGGCGAAGGCGCCCGCCAGGCGCACCCCCAAACCCCUGCCUCCUCCUCCGGUUAUGAUGACAUCAAGUGAGAAAUAUGUGAGCUCCAAAAAGUCAAAUAACGACGUGCGUGCUAUUGGUAAAACCCAGAAGGCACAUCUGGUAUUGUCGUCAUCUGUCAACUGAGGAACUGGUUCUAUGGCAGAAGUUUCUGUGGGAGUCAGCAGAGAGGAGCUGGGCUGCAGCUCAGCAGUAAGUGCACAGCAUGUUUGAGGCCGUGUUUGAUCCGCAGCACCAAGGUCUCACUGGGCUCAAACUUGUGAUCCUCCUGCCAUAGCUUCCCAGAGUGCUGGGAUUGCAUGCAUGCACCAUCAUGCCUGGCUAAGUUUUCCAACAAUUUGGGGAAACCACUGAUCUACAUAACCCAAAGAAGGCCACCAAAAACUUCAGGACAUUGGAGAGAAGAAGGUAAGCUUUAUGAGGAAUAAGGAGUUAAGUAGUCUCCAAGUAUUUCUCUACAAACUGUAAGGAGUGAAAGGAAAAAUUUGUACAGGAGAGAAGCUGCACCACACCUUAACUGUGUGGCCUCUAGGCGCAGUUAGACAUGGACGCCUUCGAUUGUGGCGCCUGAGGACAGGAGAAAACUCAUAGCGUUCCUGCCCAAAGCACUAAUCUGAAAUGCGAUUUGAGGAAAUAUACAUCUAAACCGAGGAACAUCUUCAAAGUAAAUGGCUCUUACUGUUUUAAAAAAGGCAAAUGUCUUGCUAUUCGGAGAAAAGCGGAGGCACUACUCCAAAUGAAAGGACUUAGAGACUCGAGAGGACUCAGUGUAAGUACAAUACCCAAUCCCAGGCUGAAGCUGGGCCAGGAAAAAUACGCUGCUGUCAGUCUAUCAUGGAAACCAGUGCCAAAACGAAACGUGGACUGUGGUUCAGAGAAAAGCAUUCUAUCAACAUUACAUACUAAGUUUCCCGAAUUGAAACCUGUGGCUGCGGUUAGGGAGAAAGUAGCCUUGUUUAGGGUGUGCAAAUUGAAGAUUUAAGGGACAGAGGGGCAAUACUAUUUCUGCAACUCUUCUGUCAGCUUGAAAUGACCCCAGAAUAAAAUGAAAAGAGAUGAAUAUUCGUGUCCAUUUCUGAAUUUAAGAGUGCUGACUAGAAACAUUUGCUAAAAGCAUAAAGUACUAAAAAGCGCCUCCACGGCUUCCUCAAUGGAAAAGAAAACAUAAGCCACUUAUCUGAUAAAUUACUGUCGGUGGAUACGCUGGAGAUAGAACAAUGCCCCGUGCUUUGUUUCUCAGUUGGGAAACCCUGCAGAAACACCGAUCCCAGGUGGUUUCUGACUCCAGCCGGCAACUUUCACUACUUCCACCGCUUCUCCCCUCGGCUGAGUGAGCGGGAAGAGAGCGAGGGCUGGAGGCAGGGAGAGGAGCAGGGGAACCGGCUGCUGCGGCUGGGGAGGAAUCAGGCAGAAGGGACCGGGCGCAGGCUCCCCCAUGGCCAGUGACUGUGCACCGUGCCCCUCACGGAGAUGAGAGGGGUGGGGCAGGAGCUCCACGGUACACCGGUGCCAUCAGUGCCCGGGAGGGAACAGCUCGGCGGGAACGCCGGCAGGGAACUCGCUGCUCACGUCCAGUGAAGGGCUCUUCAGAUGCUGGGUCCAGCCUCACUGUAACCUCCACACUUUCAGACCGCUUGUACCCUUCGUGACACUGGAGCUGGACCGUCACCUUGACUGGCUUGGGAGCUGGCUGCCCACAGGAGUAGCAGAGCGGGCUUCUGGGUGUGUACUGGUGGGUCGUGGAGGUGUGGCAUCCACCUCUGGCCCCUCAUCUUUCCUCCCUGGCACUGCUCCCCUGUUCUGUCUCCUGGCCACCGUGAAUUAAGCAUCCUGGCUCUACCAUGAUGAUUCUUGCCUUGGAGCUGACCAUGGACUGAAGGCCCUGAAACUGUGAGCCCAAUUAACCUCUCCUUUAAGUUGUUGGUGCUGGGUAUUGUGUCCCAGCAAGAGGAAUGUUGACUAAUACACCCCUUGAAGCAGCAACAGACACAUAAACUGGAAGACAAUAAUCAGAACCCUUGUGCUAGAACUGGUUCCAGUUCUUUCCACUGUUACUUCUCAUAAACAUAAUGUGUUUGGAUCACAGCUCAGCCACACAGAAGAUGCUAGAUGCUGGCUUCUCCCAUCUUCAGGUUCCUCAGCUAUGGAGUGAGGAUUAUAAUACAUACUCUGUAUGCUGUCUUAAGAAUCAGAAAUAAUACAUUCAGUCCUCUGUAUCCAAGGGUUCCACAACUACAGAUUCAACCAACCACCAAACAAAAAUAUUUAAAAAA
Heterocephalus glaber (naked mole-rat) is the source of this 2466-nucleotide non-coding RNA. Lineage: Eukaryota; Metazoa; Chordata; Mammalia; Rodentia; Bathyergidae. The record is from RefSeq and is a predicted model, not a curated record.